GAUUAACGCUGGCGGUAUGUCUAAUACAUGCAAGUCGAGCGACGCUUCGAGCGGAGCGGCGAACGGGUGAGUAACGCGUUGGUAGCUGCCCCACACUCAGGGAUAACUGUUAGAAAUAGCAGCUAAUACCGGAUAGUCCCGCAAGGGUAAAGCUUUUGCGGUGUGGGAGGCGCCUGCGUCCUAUCAGCUUGUUGGUGAGGUAAUGGCUUACCAAGGCUAUGACGGGUAGUUGGUCUGAGAGGAUGAUCAGCCACAAUGGGACUGAGACACGGCCCAUACUCCUACGGGAGGCAGCAGUAAGGAAUCUUUCACAAUGGCCUAACGGCUGAUGAAGCAAUACCGCGUGGUCGAUGAAGCCUUUACGGGUGUAAAGACCUUUUCUGAGGGAAGAAUUCUGACGGUACCUUAGGAAUAAGCACCGGCUAACUCCGUG
This 433-nucleotide ribosomal RNA is filed under the name uncultured organism. RNAcentral's name for it is "bacterial SSU rRNA". It matches the Rfam family "Bacterial small subunit ribosomal RNA", at positions 28 to 507 of the family's 1533-position model. The record is from RNAcentral.